This 253-nucleotide ribosomal RNA is filed under the name uncultured bacterium. Its description in RNAcentral is "partial 16S ribosomal RNA". It matches the Rfam family "Bacterial small subunit ribosomal RNA", at positions 524 to 776 of the family's 1533-position model. The record is from RNAcentral.
UACGUAGGGUGCGAGCGUUAAUCGGAAUUACUGGGCGUAAAGCGUGCGCAGGCGGUUCGCUAAGACCGGUGUGAAAUCCCCGGGCUUAACCUGGGAACUGCAUUGGUGACUGGCGGGCUAGAGUAUGGCAGAGGGGGGUAGAAUUCCACGUGUAGCAGUGAAAUGCGUAGAGAUGUGGAGGAAUACCGAUGGCGAAGGCAGCCCCCUGGGCCAAUACUGACGCUCAUGCACGAAAGCGUGGGGAGCAAACAGG